RNAcentral lists this ribosomal RNA (425 nucleotides) under uncultured prokaryote. Its description in RNAcentral is "bacterial SSU rRNA". It matches the Rfam family "Bacterial small subunit ribosomal RNA", at positions 355 to 774 of the family's 1533-position model. The record is from RNAcentral.
UGGGGAAUCAUGGUCAAUGGGCGAAAGCCUGAACCUGCGACGCCGCGUGAGUGAUGAAGGUCGUAAGAUCGUAAAACUCUUUUCAGGGAUCUUAAAGCCUGUCUGUCAACAACAGGCAGGUCUGACUCUCCCUGGAAGAAGCCCCAGCCAACUACGUGCCAGCAGCUGCGGUAAUACGUAGGGGGCGAGCGUUAUUCGGAAUUACUGGGUGUAAAGGGUAUGUAGGCGGCCCUUCAAGUCGCGUGUCAAAGUCCAGUGCUCAACGCUGGGUGUGCGCGCGAUACUGACGGGCUUGAGGGCUGGAGAGGAUAGCGGAAUUCCCGGUGUAGUGGUAAAAUACGUAGAGAUCGGGAGGAACACCAGCGGCGCAGGCGGCUCACUAGACAGUUUCUGACGCUAAGAUACGAAAGCGUGGGGAUCAAACA